Molecule: non-coding RNA, 106 nt
Organism: Gossypium hirsutum (cotton)
Lineage: Eukaryota; Viridiplantae; Streptophyta; Magnoliopsida; Malvales; Malvaceae
Source: Rfam
AUUCCAUGAUGAGGGCACUUCCAUAAUAAUUCUUUAAAUCUUUCCCAUACCUCAUACAAAGACUUGUCAUUCAUCUAUUGGAAGGUAGUAAUCUCAUUCCUCAACU